GAUAACAGGCUGAUCUCCCCCAAGAGUCCACAUCGACGGGGAGGUUUGGCACCUCGAUGUCGGCUCGUCGCAUCCUGGGGCUGAAGUAGGUCCCAAGGGUUGGGCUGUUCGCCCAUUAAAGCGGCACGCGAGCUGGGUUCAGAACGUCGUGAGACAGUUC
Ribosomal RNA from Clostridium intestinale, 160 nucleotides. It matches the Rfam family "Bacterial large subunit ribosomal RNA", at positions 2473 to 2632 of the family's 2925-position model. NCBI's taxonomy places the organism in Bacteria, Bacillati, Bacillota, Clostridia, Eubacteriales, Clostridiaceae. The record is from Rfam.